GUUUAAUGAUAUUAUUGCUGAGUUGUUUUAACCGACUAAAACUGAAAACCGCCACGGCUUAAAAUUUAUCGAGGUUAUUAAAUAAUUGCACGUUCUUAUUGUUUGAAAUUAAUUCGAAAUUAGUUUCGAACCUACGCCAGUAUUAAAAUGACGCUACACGAACGCUAUACGUGGUUAAAUAAAGGGAAGGGAGGGAGGCAACGGUAGCGUGAACUUACGUCAUAAGAGAGUGUGUCAAAAUCAUUUGACCCUCCCAUCCGCUCAAGUACUGUUAUAAGAACCAACGCCUACCUCUUCUAUAAAAAGAAAAUAAAGUACAAC
This is a non-coding RNA of Cinara cedri, 321 nucleotides long. NCBI's taxonomy places the organism in Eukaryota, Metazoa, Arthropoda, Insecta, Hemiptera, Aphididae. The record is from the annotation of a GenBank genome assembly.